AGUGGCAGACGGGUGAGUAACAUGUAGGUAUCUACCCUUUGGCCUGGAAUAACACGAGGAAACUUGUGCUAAUACCGGAUAAGUCUUUACGGAGAAAGCUUUAUGCACCAUUGGAUGAGCCUGCACUUGAUUAGUUUGUUGGUGGGGUAAUGGCCUACCAAGACUGUGAUCAAUAGCUGAUUUGAGAGGAUGAUCAGCCACAUUGGGACUGAGACACGGCCCAAACUCCUACGGGAGGCAGCAGUGGGGAAUCUUGCACAAUGGAGGAAACUCUGAUGCAGCGAUGCCGCGUGAGUGAAGAAGGCCUUUGGGUUGUAAAGCUCUUUCGUCGGGGAAGAAAAUGACUGUACCCGAAUAAGAAGGUCCGGCUAACUUCGCGCCAGCAGCCGCGGUAAUACGAAGGGACCUAGCGUAGUUCGGAAUUACUGGGCUUAAAGAGUUCGUAGGUGGUUGAAAAAGUUAGUGGUGAAAUCCCAGAGCUUAACUCUGGAACUGCCAUUAAAACUUUUCAGCUAGAGUAUGAUAGAGGAAAGCAGAAUUUCUAGUGUAGAGGUGAAAUUCGUAGAUAUUAGAAAGAAUACCAAUUGCGAAGGCAGCUUUCUGGAUCAUUACUGACACUGAGGAACGAAAGCAUGGGUAGCGAAGAGGAUUAGAUACCCUCGUAGUCCAUGCCGU
Molecule: ribosomal RNA, 675 nt
Filed under: uncultured marine bacterium
Lineage: Bacteria
Description: bacterial SSU rRNA
Rfam family: Bacterial small subunit ribosomal RNA
Source: RNAcentral